AUACGGAGGGUGCAAGCGUUGUUCGGAAUCACUGGGCGUAAAGGGCGCGCAGGCGGUCCUGCAAGUCAGAUGUGAAAGCCCACGGCUCAACCGUGGAAGUGCAUUUGAAACUGCAGGACUUGAGUAUCAGAGGGGAAAGUGGAAUUCCCGGUGUAGAGGUGAAAUUCGUAGAUAUCGGGAGGAAUACCGGUGGCGAAGGCGACUUUCUGGCUGAAUACUGACGCUGAGGCGCGAAAGCGUGGGGAGCAAACAGAAUUAGAAACCCCAGUAGUCC
This 274-nucleotide ribosomal RNA is filed under the name uncultured bacterium. Its description in RNAcentral is "partial 16S ribosomal RNA". It matches the Rfam family "Bacterial small subunit ribosomal RNA", at positions 523 to 796 of the family's 1533-position model. The record is from RNAcentral.